CCAAGGAUAUUGGAUAUCCAAAGGAUAACUCCCAAGGACAUUAUAGCCAAAUUCCAGAACUUCCAGGUCAAGAAAAAAAUAUUCAAGCAGCCAAAAAGAAACAAUUCAAAUAUUGUGAAACCACAGUCAGGAUAACACAGGAUUUAGCAACUUUGUAACAAAUAAAAGGGUGGUCUGGCCAGAGUUAUAAUAAAUUUUUGAAAGAGAGAGUUGGGGGGGGGAGAGAGAUUUCAGCAAAUGUGGUCACCUCCAUGUUGCACUGCCACUUAUCCACAGUCAGCCCAAGGAGUCAGUCUGUUCAUGAGCAGAAAUAAAGAGAGCUCUCUCCUUCCCACAUUCCCAUUUUAAACCCCACUAGCUCCUCCCUCAGUGGCAGACAUUGCACGUUGAUUCUCACAGUGAUACUGACUCUCACAGUGAUGCAGAUGCUCACACUGAUUCCAGGGGAUGCUAGGUCAUUAAGAUAUGUCAUUACUCUAUAAUACCCACCACUGGUGUGCUGCAGGAUGGAGGUAUUUUACUUCACACAGAUUUUACAAUAAAGGAUAACAGGGCCUGGAAUACAAUAUUCCAGAGGGCAAAAGUGCUAGUAUUUCAACCAAGAAUCAAUUACCAAAAAAAAAAACUGAACAUAAUCCUUCAGAGAGAAAAAAAUGGAUAUUCAAUGAAAUAAAGGACUUUCAAGAAAUUCUGAUGAAAAGACCAGUGCUGAAUGGAAAAUUUGAUUUUCAAAUACAAGACUUAAGAAAAGCAUAAAAAGGUGGCUCAUCCUGGGGAAGUUUAACAUUCUAGACUGGAUUCCCCCCCCACCUCAUCCCCCAUCUGUCUGGGAUAUUUCCUCCCAAGGUCACUGGGUAUAUGCAAACUGAUUCUACCAUCAGAAAAUUUUUCCUAACCUGGUCCUACGUAUGGAGGAGGAGAGUAAGAUGAUGGAAGCUAAAAAAGCAAAUGCUCUUGUUACUGAUAGCAGUAUCCCCACUUCACAGAAAAGAUCUGCAUCUCCUGAUCAUCUCCUGAUCGUGUCAAAAAACUCUUGAUUAAAUAGAACAUUGGGAUAAAUCCAAUAAGAUAAACUUCAUUAGAGAAGCAAGAACCAAUAGCAAUGAAGAUAUGUUACAGAGAGACAAAUAUAGAUGUGAUGUAAGGAUAAACAUUUCCCUCCAUUAAAGCUGUUUCAAAGUAGAAUAGGUUGAUGUGGGAGAAAAUGCAUUUCCCCUCAUUGGUGGUCUUCACGAGAAGCUAGCCACUAUUUGUUAUAUAUAUUAUAAUGAAGAUUCCUUUCACAUAUGGAUCAUAUGGCUACAAACUCUCAAAUUUUGUGAUGCUAUUAACUCCAUGACAAGUACUUUUAUUCAGUUCACUAAAAUUUUUGCCCCAACUCUAAGCUUUUCAUCUCUGUCCUAAAUUAAUUCACUGAAAUUUAAGUCCAAGAAAAGAAAUUAAAAUUCUUUUGGAACAAGGACUAUGCCUCACUUUGCUCUGUGUGUGUGUUUGUGUGUGUGUGUGUGUGUGUGUGUGUGUGUGUGUCCCUGUUGGUUCUGGCACCACACUCUACUUACAGAGUUUAUAGAAUAAAUGUUGACAGAAGAAAUAACA
This 1596-nucleotide long non-coding RNA is filed under the name Monodelphis domestica (gray short-tailed opossum). Its description in RNAcentral is "lncRNA (ENSMODG00000050617.1)". Lineage: Eukaryota; Metazoa; Chordata; Mammalia; Didelphimorphia; Didelphidae. The record is from RNAcentral.